UAAAUUGCUUCACAUCGAAGUGGACAUUCUGAAAGUCUGAGAACACGUGGUUUAUAUUUGCAGCUCUUGACAACUGGGAAAAGGAGAGCUCUGUGUUCACCUGUUACUGAUGUUAGUUAAAACAUGGGCUUCCAGCAGGGAAAACAAGCAGGAAGAGCCAGUAAGAGAGUCAUUAUUUCAGAUCUCACUCACAGAACCAGAGGAUGACCACCUCCUCAAAACUAAGUAGACACAAAGAAAAUAACUCUCCUCCCAAUAUUGAGGAGGAAAACAUCCCCUUUGAAGAAGACAGCAGGACCCUGCUGAGACAAGCUUAAGGCUGCUGGUAUUCCACAUGGAAUAUAUGACUCUUUCUCUAUACAGUACAACUCUCUUUAUAUAAUUCUGCUCUGCAUGAAUUUCUGACUACCUCACAAAUUAAAGGAGAAAGUGAUCAUACUUGGAAGUCAGUAAUUUCAUCUGCCCCAAGGAGUUGUUUCACAGCUAGCAAAAUACUGACUCACUUUUAACUCUUGUUAGUAGCAGGGGUCUUGUUCUCGCCUUCCAAUUCUUCCACUCCCGCCUGUGUCAUGAGAUCGGCUAUGUUCUUCUCCAGGUCAUCUAUGCGACAGCUCAUGUCAUCAAGUUCCUGGAGUUAAGGACUAUGACUGCAAUCCGUUACUCAUUAGGGUUGAAUAUUUUAAUUUGAUUGGGAGUUUUUACAGCUCUGCUCAAGCUCUUUUGGUCACUUCCAAUUCAUCUUACAAAUCCCACCUGAUUUCAAAUAAAGGAUAUUUCUUCCAA
Pogoniulus pusillus (Red-fronted tinkerbird) is the source of this 783-nucleotide long non-coding RNA. RefSeq lists it as uncharacterized. Lineage: Eukaryota; Metazoa; Chordata; Aves; Piciformes; Lybiidae. The record is from RefSeq and is a predicted model, not a curated record. The transcript is spliced from 3 exons.